RNA transcript from Neoarius graeffei (lesser salmon catfish), 5560 nucleotides. It is a transcript of the gene named serine hydrolase like, with no coding region annotated. The transcript has 3 exons. The record is from RefSeq and is a predicted model, not a curated record. Lineage: Eukaryota; Metazoa; Chordata; Actinopteri; Siluriformes; Ariidae.
UGAUCACGGGCGUCCUGUGCUCUGCCUGCACGGCUGGUCCGACAACAGCGGCUCCUUUAACACUCUCAUCCCACUGCUGCCUGCUGCCUGUUCCCAAACUCCUGUCUGUCGUGCUGUCCUGUCUGCCUGCUGAGAGACUGCUCGCUGAGAGACCGCCUGAAUACCAAGUGCUGUCAGCUUACAGCCAAACUUCUCUGACAACGCCUGAUCCUGUCUGAUCUCAGAAGCUAAGCAGGGUCGGGCCUGGUUAGUACUUGGAGGGGAGACCUCAGACGUCACCAGCCAUCCCUGCCUCUCAGUCCUCCUGCCACUGAACUUCACACACACAUCCUCCCAACUCCCUUUCCCCUGCUAUCAAUAAACUCAACAUUUAACCUGCGCUCUUGGGUCCUCGUCUGUUUGUCCUGACAGAAUGAUCUGACCAUCAUGGACCCAGCACCCUUCCCGACCAGCAUGGGGGUUGAGCCCGAAAUGACUGCUCUGCAGCGACUGGAACGCACAGAGGGAGACAUAAACCGGAUGUCCGGUGACAUUGCAUCUCUGCUCCAGCUUGGCCAGCAACAACUGUUUCAGCAACAGCAGCAGCUAACCCAAGUCCUGCAAGUACUCACCAACCUCACCACUCCAUCCGCUUCAGCUCUGCCUGCACCACCCAGCCCCUCUGCUGUGGCUUCCCCUCGAAAUCCAGUUGCUCCAGUCCUGGCGGCACAGCCUCUAGCUCCCGGUGACCCGGAACUGAAGAUUGGUAAUCCGGAACGUUUCAAUGGUGACCCAAACCGGGUCCGGCCCUUCCUGACCAGCUGCCGUAUCCAGUUUUCUCUGCAACCCAGGACCUUCUCGACGGAGGGAGCCAAGGUGGGGUAUGUCAUCACUCACCUGACCGGCCGGGCUCGGUUGUGGGGGACAGCAGAGUUCGACCGGCAGACUCCAGCCUGUGCCUCCUUCAGUGCCUUCGUCGAGGAGAUGUUAAAGGUGUUCGACCUGGGCUCGUCAAGAACAGAGGCAUCAUGAGCACUGAUGAGUAUUUGUCAGGGCAACCGGACAGUGGCGGACUACUCCAUCGACUUUCGUACCCUGGUGAGGCGCAGUUCAUGGAACAUGGCGGCACUAGUGGACGCCUUCCUCCACAGUUUGGCGGACUACGUCAAGGACGAGCUCGUUUCCCAUGAGCAACCCCCGACACUCGACGAGGCCAUUGCCCUUGCUGUACGCAUCGAUCACCGUAUCCAGAUCCGCAGACGAGAGAAGGGGCGUCCGAGUCAACCUGCCACCCGCACUCGGGGUGAGUCUUCUGCUGCCCAGUUCCCGUCUGUCACGCCCCAAAGCCACUUAACCUCAAACCUGUGCCUCUACUGCGGAAGUGAAGGUCACCGUGUCACCACCUGCCCGGCAAAAGCCAGAACUCAACAGGUGUAGGGGAGAUCCUGGUGAGCUCGACAUGUACCCAGUCUCCCUCCAUUCGAAAACCCCUGCUUCAGCUCCGCCUUCAGCUUCCUGACACCACUCAUGCCCUGGCCGCCCUGGUGGACUCUGGAGCCGAAGCAAACAUCAUGGAUACAGAGUUCGCACGGCAGCUGGGUGUGGGCCGUCACCAUCUCACUCCACCCGUUCCGGUACGAGCGCUGGGUGGACGUCGUCUCGGCACAGUGACACACAUCACAGCCCCCGUGAUACUGCUGCUGUCAGGAAACCACCAGGAGUCCAUCAAGUUCCACCUCCUACACUCACCCGGCCAACCACUCAUCCUAGGAUACCCGUGGCUCCGUCAACACAACCCCCAACUUGACUGGAAGACUGGCACUAUACGAGAGUGGGGAAGGGGCUGCCAUCAGACCUGCUUAAAGGGAGCCGUCCUGCCAACCAACCAGGAGACCACCAGCUCCGCCCCCGACAUAUCCAAGGUUCCUGUUUACUAUCACAACCUGAGAGAGGUGUUCAACAAGUCCAAGGCCACGUCUCUGCCCCCACACCGACCAUACGACUGCGCCAUCGACCUCCUGCCAGGCACCGCACCCCCGAAGGGCCGUCUCUACUCCCUGUCAGCCCCGGAAAGAAAGGCCAUGGAAGACUACAUAAACGACACUCUGGCUGCUGGCAUAAUCCGUCCAUCGUCCUCUCCUGCCGGAGCAGGAUUCUUCUUCGUGGGAAAGAAGGAUGGUUCUCUUCGCCCAUGCAUAGAUUACCGGGGCUUGAACGACAUUACAGUUAAGAACCGCUACCCUCUGCCACUACUCUCCUCCGCCUUUGAACUGCUGCAGGGGGCCACAGUGUUCACCAAGCUAGAUCUCCGGAACGCUUACCAUCUGGUGCGAGUGAGAGAAGGUGACGAGUGGAAGACUGCAUUCAACACCCUGACGAGACAUUAUGAAUAUCUGGUCAUGCCAUUCGGUCUCACCAAUGCCCCAGCAGUGUUCCAGGCCCUGGUAAACGACAUCCUCAGAGACAUGCUCAAUAAGUUUGUUUUCGUUUACUUGGACGAUAUUUUGAUCUUCUCAAAAACCCUGUCAGAACACACCCACCAUGUCCAGUUGGUCCUGCGCCGCCUGCUUGAAAACUCGCUGUUUGUGAAAGCAGAGAAGUGCAAGUUCCACGCCCAGUCUGUCUCGUUCCUGGGAUAUGUGGUGACCGAGGGCAGCAUUCAAAUGGACCCUGCGAAGGUGUCGGCAGUGACGUCGUGGCCGGUUCCAGAGAGCCGUAAGAAACUGCAGCAGUUCCUGGGGUUUGCCAACUUUUAUAGGAGAUUCAUCCGGGGCUACAGCACUGUGGCAGCCCCACUCACCGCACUGACCAGCAUCAAACAGCCUUUUCAAUGGACUGCAGCAGCUGACAAAGCCUUCGAAACCCUCAAGGCCCGUUUCACUUCAGCUCCCAUCCUCCGGAUGCCUGACGCCGAGCGGCAGUUUGUGGUGGAGGUAGAUGCUUUGGAUGUGGGAGUCAGGGCUGUGUUUUCCCAGCAAGCAGCAGAGGAUGGCAAAAUGCACCCCUGUGCCUUCUACUCCCGAAGACUGACCCCAGCAGAAAGCAACUACGACAUCGGCAACCGCGAGCUACUGGCUGUCAAGCUCGCCCUCGAGGAGUGGCGCCACUGGUUGGAGGGGUCUAAGGUUUCAUUUGUGGUCUGGACUGACCACAAAAACCUGGAGUAUAUCCGGACAGCCAGGAGGCUAAACUCCCGCCAGCGCCGGUGGUCAUUAUUCUUCACCCGAUUCAACUUUGUCCUUUCCUACCAUCCUGGCUCCCGCAACAUCAAGCCCGAUGCACUCUCCCGGAUGUUUCAGAAGGAUGAGGCAUCCAAGGAGGAAUCAACACCCAUCCUCCCAAGCCCCUGUGUCGUUGCUGCCCUGACCUGGGACAUCGAGGAGCAGGUUCGAGAAGCCAUCAGGAACCAGCCAAGCCCCAGCGCUUGCCCCUCCAACCGUCUCUAUGUCCCAGCCGGUCUGAGGUCUCAGGUGAUUCAAUGGGGACAUGACUCCUGCCUGGCCUGUCACCCCGGGGUCACACACGCCCUCCAUCUGCUGUCUCAGCGGUUCUGGUGGCCGUUGAUGAGGAAGGACACCCAGGAUUUUGUGAGAGCCUGCCCCACUUGCAACCAGCACAAAUCCCCCAGUCAGCCCCCAGCCGGGUUACUCCAGCCCCUGCCAGUACCCAUGCGUCCCUGGUCCCAUGUCUCCCUGGAUUUUGUUACUGGUCUUCCUCCGUCGGAAGGUAAUACGGUCAUCCUCACCAUUGUGGACCGCUUCAGUAAGAUGACCCACUUUGUGCCUCUCCCUAAACUGCCAACUGCGAAGGAGACUGCCCGGGUCGUCUUAGAACAUGUCUUUGGAGUCCACGGCCUGCCCAGGGAUAUCGUGUCUGACCAGGGACCGCAGUUCUCCGCCAGUUUCUGGAAAGAAUUCUGCCACCUCCUUGGGGCCACUGCCUGUCUGUCAUCUGGGUUUCACCCACAGUCAAAUGGCCAAACGGAGCGCAUGAACCAGGAACUGGAGAAGGCACUUAGGUGUGUGGCUUCACGCAACCCCCACGCCUGGGCUCAACAUCUGCUCUGGGUGGAAUAUGCCCACAACUCCCUCACCAGUUCUGCCACCAGACUCUCCCCCUUCCAGUGUGUGUAUGGAUAUCAACCACCUCUGUUUGCCAGCCAGGAGGGAGAUGCCACCUGCCCGUCUGCUCUCACCUACGCCCGCUGCUGCCGCCGCAGUGGGCCCAGGCCCGCACCGCACUCCUGAAGUCCAGUACCAGCUAUGCUAUUGGGGCUAACCGGUGGAAGACCCCUGCACCCGUUUACCAUGUUGGCCAGAAGGUAUGGUUGUCUGCUCGAGACCUACCACUGCGGGUGGAGUCACGCAAAUUGGCGCCUCGCUACAUCGGACCCCUUCCCAUACAGAAGGUCAUCAGUCCAACGGCAGUUUGGCUGCUGCUGCCCAAGACCAUGAAAAUACAUCCCACCUUCCACGUCUCCAAACUCAAACCGGUGCACAAGAGCCCCCUGGUCCCGGUAACACCGCCGCCUCCUCCUCCACGCUUCAUUGAUGGUGGACCAGUCUACACGGUCCGGCGACUGCUCCGCUCUCGACAAAGGGGUAGGGGCAUCCAAUACUUGGUAGACUGGGAGGGUUAUGGUUCUGAGGAGAGGGCAUGGGUCCCCGCUGGAAGGAUUUUGGAUCCGGCCCUCAUCGCCGACUUCCAUUGCCUACACCCUGACCAGCCCUCCAUCCGACGGGGUCAACGUAGGGGUUCUCACCGGGCGGAUCCACUUCUGGACCCUGCCGCCACCCCUGCUCCAGUGUCCGAGUCUGACUCUGAACCGAAUCCUGGGCGGGGGCCCUUGGAUGACGAGUCUUCCGACAGUGAAGAUGGUGCGGAGGCUAUGGACACUGACCGGUCAGAGGAAUUCUGACCCUCCACCAGUAUUCCCCCUCCUCCCGCCCGUCUUGGUGGGUCUGUGUCUAGGGACUUCUGGAGCCGUCCCUUGAGGGGGGGGUUCUGUCAUGGUCCUACCUGUGGUUUUCUUCUCAUCAGGUAACAUUCCACUCCUCUCCACUCAGUAUUACCUGCCACGCCCGCAUGCUCCUUCUCUAUCAGGCUCACCUGCUGUCAAUUUACCUUCAUUGACUCUCAUUGACUUUCAGUGGCUGUCAUUGGCUGUUGCCUAUCACCUGCUGCCUUCUCUGUGUGUAUUUAAACUGCAGUCCUCCCAAGCAUCAGUGUCAGAUCGUCUUCAAGGCAUCGACUCCGUCAACUCUUCAGCCCUGCCUGUUCCCAAACUCCUGUCUGUUGUGCUGUCCUGUCUGCCUGCUGAGAGGCUGCUCGCUGAGAGACCGCCUGAAUACCAAGUGCUGUCAGCUUACAGUCAAACUACUCUGACGACGCCUGAUCCCGUCUGAUCUCAGAAGCUAAGCAGGGUUGGGCCUGGUUAGUACUUGGAGGGGAGACCUCAGACGUCACCACCACGCUCCCACCAGCUAUCCCUGCCUCUCAGUCCUCCUGCCACUGAACUUCACACACACAUAUCCUCCCAACUCCCUUUCCCCUGCUAUCAAUAAACUCAACGUUUAACCUG